CGAGCGUUUAGGAGGGACGGGACUGAAUGCGCAGAAGUCAGCUGAAGCCGUAGUAGGUGGCGGUUAACCGCGCCAUCAAGGGC
This 83-nucleotide non-coding RNA is filed under the name Pseudomonas sp. NFACC24-1. The record is from RNAcentral. Lineage: Bacteria; Pseudomonadati; Pseudomonadota; Gammaproteobacteria; Pseudomonadales; Pseudomonadaceae.